Molecule: long non-coding RNA, 92 nt
Organism: Sander lucioperca (pikeperch)
Lineage: Eukaryota; Metazoa; Chordata; Actinopteri; Perciformes; Percidae
Exons: 3
Source: RefSeq, a predicted model, not a curated record
UUAUUGAUUCAUCUUAGCUAUUGGACUGAUGAUUGCAUGUCACCACCAUUGCUGCGUUGUUGUUGUUGUUGUUUUUGUUGUUGUCGAUGUUC